ACGCUGGCGGCAGGCUUAACACAUGCAAGUCGAACGCCCGAGCAAUCGGGAGUGGCAGACGGGUGAGUAACACGUGGGAACAUACCCUUUGGUUCGGAACAACGCCGGGAAACUGGCGCUAAUACCGGAUACGCCCCUUGGGGGAAAGGCUUGCCGCCGAAGGAGUGGCCCGCGUUCGAUUAGCUAGAUGGCGGGGUAACGGCCCACCAUGGCGACGAUCGAUAGCUGGUCUGAGAGGAUGGCCAGCCACAUUGGGACUGAGACACGGCCCAAACUCCUACGGGAGGCAGCAGUGGGGAAUAUUGGACAAUGGGCGCAAGCCUGAUCCAGCCAUGCCGCGUGAGUGAUGAAGGCCUUAGGGUUGUAAAGCUCUUUCGCACGCGACGAUAAUGACGGUAGCGUGAGAAGAAGCCCCGGCUAACUUCGUGCCAGCAGCCGCGGUAAUACGAAGGGGGCUAGCGUUGUUCGGAAUCACUGGGCGUAAAGGGUGCGCAGGCGGGUUCAUAAGUCAGGGGUGAAAUCCCGAGGCUCAACCUCGGAACUGCCUUUGAUACUGUGGAUCUUGAGUCCGGAAGAGGUGAGUGGAACUG
This 590-nucleotide ribosomal RNA is filed under the name uncultured bacterium. RNAcentral's name for it is "bacterial SSU rRNA". It matches the Rfam family "Bacterial small subunit ribosomal RNA", at positions 33 to 669 of the family's 1533-position model. The record is from RNAcentral.